This 497-nucleotide ribosomal RNA is filed under the name uncultured bacterium. Its description in RNAcentral is "partial 16S ribosomal RNA". It matches the Rfam family "Bacterial small subunit ribosomal RNA", at positions 28 to 507 of the family's 1533-position model. The record is from RNAcentral.
GAUGAACGCUGGCGGCGUGCCUAAUACAUGCAAGUCGAGCGAACGGACGAGAAGCUUGCUUCUCUGAUGUUAGCGGCGGACGGGUGAGUAACACGUGGAUAACCUACCUAUAAGACUGGGAUAACUUCGGGAAACCGUAGCUAAUACCGGAUAAUAUUUUGAACCGCAUGGUUCAAAAGUGAAAGACGGUCUUGCUGUCACUUAUAGAUGGAUCCGCGCUGCAUUAGCUAGUUGGGAAGGUAACGGCUUACCAAGGCAACGAUGCAUAGCCGACCUGAGAGGGUGAUCGGCCACACUGGAACUGAGACACGGUCCAGACUCCUACGGGAGGCAGCAGUAGGGAAUCUUCCGCAAUGGGCGAAAGCCUGACAGAGCAACGCCGCGUGAGUGAUGAAGGUCUUCGGAUCGUAAAACUCUGUUAUUAGGGAAGAACAUAUGUGUAAGUAACUGUGCACAUCUUGACGGUACCUAAUCAGAAAGCCACGGCUAACUACGUG